UACCGGGUUUUAGUAUAUACGAGUUUUUUGAAAUAUAAAGAGAAGCAAUACCGCCCUCUUGAUAGAACAAGAGGGCGGUAUUGCUUCUCUUUAUAUUUCAGACUGUUUUAGCUAAACAAAUAUUUUUUAUUUUUGCAUGAUCAAAAAGGAAUCCUUUGAAAUAAAAAGAAAUAAAAAGAAAUAAAAGAAAAUUAAAAUUCGC
This 202-nucleotide unclassified non-coding RNA is filed under the name Echinophora chrysantha. Its description in RNAcentral is "psbA-trnH intergenic spacer". Lineage: Eukaryota; Viridiplantae; Streptophyta; Magnoliopsida; Apiales; Apiaceae. The record is from RNAcentral.